GGCCAGGUCCAGAAGGAUCCAUUCCCAAUUCAGAGGCACCUGACUCAUUCAGGAGAAGUUUCUUUAACCAUUCUUUAUCAUUAAGCUUCUGGAGCAGCUCCUAGUCACCAAGUGUUUUAUUUUAAGCCCUCACAACACACACACACACCACCACAUUAUAACUGCUUGCUUCCAAGGGAACAUCGAGGACACGGUGCCCUUUAAAGGUCAUACCAAGACAUGAAGCAUUCAGACUGAGCAACCACCACUAGCAUAAAGGUUCAAGAUUUACUUUUGUUUCCAGUAUGAGGAUAUACACAAAGACAACUAAGCAAGUUGGACAUGAUGCCUAUGUUAAGUCAGCUCACCUUGGCACACGAACUGCUGUGGCUGUGCAGCGCGUUUCUGAUCUCAUUCCACAGCCCAUCCUCACACAAAGAGUGGCACUGUCAGAUCAGGUCUUGUUUAUCCACUGAGACCGAAGGAUGGGGACUGAGCUGCAAAGUUAAGCAAGCAGGAGUUGAACUGCCCUGUUUGCAGGAAGCACAUUUCACAGAUCAGAGAAAAGGUUUGGCAGAUCAAAGCCAACCACUUCCAAGCCGUGAAAGAAUGUCAGUGAUACCAGACCAACGAAGAACAGGGACGGACUCAAUCCUGACAGCAGUGCUCCUCUUUAAAACAGCCAUCUGAUUGGAAUUAAAUAGAAACAAAAAAGAACAACAAUGGAACCUCA
This is a long non-coding RNA of Numida meleagris (helmeted guineafowl), 712 nucleotides long. RefSeq lists it as uncharacterized. NCBI's taxonomy places the organism in Eukaryota, Metazoa, Chordata, Aves, Galliformes, Numididae. The record is from RefSeq and is a predicted model, not a curated record. The transcript is spliced from 2 exons.